AUUUAAAUCGAAGGGAUGGGAUAACAAGUUGAAUAAUAAUAAUAAUAAUAAUGGGACAAAGUAUGACCUACAUGCAUAUAUCAUAUAAAAGCAACUUGACAUUGUCUAUCUCUCUAUUAAUUACGUCUCUAUAUCUUUUUUUUUCUUUUUCUAAUUCAUAAAGUUUGUAAUAAAUAAUAUAUAUAUACAUUACUUAGAAUGUAUAAAUAUGUAAGAUGGAUAAGAUUUUUGAGUCGUCGGGGGGUGUUUUGUUUUUUGUCUUCUGCUCCAUUUCCAUUUGUUCUGUGGGUACCAUUUAGAUUUUAU
RNAcentral lists this long non-coding RNA (306 nucleotides) under Capsella rubella. Its description in RNAcentral is "long non-coding RNA (CRUB_LNC001191)". The record is from RNAcentral. Lineage: Eukaryota; Viridiplantae; Streptophyta; Magnoliopsida; Brassicales; Brassicaceae.